GAGAAAUUGGAAAAUAUUAAGUAGAAUCAAAAGAACUACUCAAAUUAUUUUAAACACUGAGGUCGAAGAGGAUGGAAAAUUAACGAUGAUUUCUCUAUUGAAGUUAAUGUCAUAAAGUUUGCUUUUACAUCUUUUAGGAACACGGUGUUAUAUUAUUCUAGGGCAUAAAUGAAAAUGUAUUUAAUUAUCUCAAGCUUUAUAUUUCUUAAUUAUUUAAAAAUACUUGUUUGUUACUACAAAAAUACAAGCUAGCAUUGAAAGUAGUAAUUUUCAUUGUCCACUCCCAUAGAAAAGAAUCAGGAAUAAACAUUCCAUUUGCUUGUUUCUUAGAGGAAAGUAUCUCUAGCAAACAGGUAUAUCAAAUGCUUCUAAAAAUAAUUUAAGUAAUUUCCUCCAAUCUUAUCCUGAGGAUGAUUUUAUACAUACACAUAUUUUUCACAAUAAACUUUUAAAAUUCCAUUAGAAAACAUUACAUGUAUUUUCUUCAGUUGUGAAGUGUUUACCAGUGACAGCACCAGAGAAUGGAAAAAUUGUCAGUAGUGCAAUGGAACCAGAUCGGGAAUACCGUUUUGGACAAGCAGUACGGUUUGUAUGUAACUCAGGCUACAAGAUUGAAGGAGAUGAAGAAAUGCAUUGUUCAGACGAUGGUUUUUGGAGUAAAGAGAAACCAAAGUGUGUGGGUAAGAUACACUUACUGUUUUAGUAUUUUUAGCUUUUUAAAUGUAAAUAUACAUUUAAAACAUCGUUCAUUCUAAGGAAUAUCAGCAAUAUUAACAAUAGCUAAUGUUUAUUGAGCACUUACUAUCUGCCUGUAAUUGAGCUAAGUUCUUUGCAUGCAUCAUUUCAUUUUAACUUUCAAAAAACUCCAUGAUUUAUUUACUCUUAUCACUUUUAUUUUAUAAUGGAAGAGACUGGUGCAAAGAAGUUAAAUCACAUGCCCUGGAUUAUCAUGGCAUAAAGAGUCAAGUUAGGAUUUAAAUGUAGGUUAUCUGACACCAGAGUCCAUGCUUUAACCAUAACUCCAUUGUAAUUGCCUCUUAGGCUGAAAUAGAAUGCUAAGUAUUUCUGCUGCAAGCUGUAAGACCUCUGGAAUAGACAUUUGUUUUUAUUUUGAAAGCCAAAGAUUCAUUAUGUAUUUCCAGAGAUACAUUAGAAUGACAUUCGUUUUUGAAUAACACUUUUAGGAAGCAGACCUAUUUUAUAUUUGCACUGCAAGUUUACUAUAAAUGUUGCUGAAUUGAACAGAAUCCACUAAAUAAAUUGUUGCCUCUUAAAAAAAGUUUUAUAGUAAACUGUAAGCCAGGAUUUUUUUAGUCAUAAUACUGCCAACCUGUGCAUCAUGACCAAUCAAAGAUUUUGGCUUCUGUGAUAAACAUUGUGGUUGAUUUGUUUAGUAGUACCAUAGUUCAAGUUCAUUUUACCAAUAAUUGUUUGGCAGAAGUUUCUGGCAUAUUUAUAUUUUAAUAUUAUCUAAAAUAUCUAAAUUAUUUUUACUAUUAAAGUCUGUUCUAUCUUAGAUACAGAUAAAAGAAUUUCUCUUCUUAAGAACACUUUGUAACAACAAUAGUUCUUUAUGUUAAAUCUAAUAUUUUUAUUCAGCAUAGCAAAUAUUAUGUACUUUAGAAGUACAUGGAUGGAAUUUACAUCCUUACAACUAGAUUCCUGUGGUUAGUGAAACCUUCCUGGAAUGGCUGAUGCCUACGAUUAAGUCUUAAAGAAAAAAACGAGAUUUUGUAGAUGAAAAUGAGAGCAAAAGCAUACCAGAGUUCAGGGAAAGGGAAGUGGAAGGGCAGUGAGGCUUUAAGGAGCAUGAAGCACCACUGAUUCUUGUCCAUUGUUCCUAGGCACCUUAGUCUAGGAUGCAAGUAGGGAAUGAGUCAGUGAUAAAUAGAAGGUGGGCCAAUACAUAGUGCUGAGGUGCUGCAUGCACCAUGCUGAAGAACGCAUCUUUUAUUCAGAUUGAUUUGGGAAUCAAUGAAGGAUUUCAAGUGGAGUUACGAUGUGUCUACCUGAGAGGUCAUUAAGCUAUACACAAGGAAAAUGGAUUAGAAAGUGGGAGAACAGAGUUUGGGAAACUACUUAUGAUUGGCACAAUCCCAGGUAAAAAUGUUUGAGAGAAGUGGGUAUAAAAGUUAUAAAAGAUAAUGGCCAUUUUUUUUUUUUUCUGAGGAAAUCUUGGCUAAAUAGUGAUGACACAAAAACAGGUCAGUUACUUUUCAGAGAUGUAAUGACAAUGAGUUAAAUCAAUGUCUUUGACAAAAAGUCCUGUUGAUAAUUCCUGUCUUAUCAAUAACUAGAAGAUGUGUUAUUUUUUGCAGGUCAUUCAGUGAAAACAUCACAAUAAAACUAUAUUUAUGAUCAAUUUUAUUUAUACAGUUGAUGAAUGUUACUGGUCACUAUUUAUUUCAAGAAGGCUAAUUUAUCCUGAAACUAAAUAAAAUCAGAAGCAUAAUUUUAAUCAGAAUUUUAACUUUCUUCAGAUAAAUCAUUUAUUAAGCGGUCAAGUCAAAACAGAACUUUUGUUUGGUUGACUGAUUUACCUGAUGGAAACAACAUUUCUGUUUUCAUAUAAUUAUGUCCUGGUCACAGUCCUUUAAUUUGCAAUAAACAUUUUGGAAUUUAAUCCCUUUUAUUUAGAAAUUUCAUGCAAAUCCCCAGAUGUUAUAAAUGGAUCUCCUAUAUCUCAGAAGAUUAUUUAUAAGGAGAGUGAACGAUUUCAAUAUAAAUGUAACAUGGGUUAUGAAUACAGUGAAAGAGGAGAUGCUGUAUGCACUGAAUCUGGAUGGCGUCCAUUGCCUUCAUGUGAAGAAAAAACAUGUGGUAAUCCUUAUAUUCCAAAUGGUGACUACUCACCUUUAAGGAUUAAACACAGAACUGGAGAUGAAAUCACGUACCAGUGUAGAAAUGGUUUUUAUCCUGCAACCCAGGGAAAUACAGCAAAAUGCACAAGUACUGGCUGGAUACCUGCUCCAAGAUGUACCUUGAAACCUUGUGAUUAUCCAAACAUUAAACAUGGAGGUCUAUAUCAUGAGAAUAUGCGUAGACCAUACUUUCCAGUAGCUGUAGGAAAAUAUUACUCCUAUUACUGUGAUGAACGUUUUGAGACUGCAUCAGGAAGUUACUGGGAUUACAUUCAUUGCACACAAGAUGGAUGGUCGCCAGCAGUACCAUGCCUCAGAAAAUGUUAUUUUCCUUAUUUGGAAAAUGGAUAUAAUCAAAAUUAUGGAAGAAAGUUUGUACAGGGUAAAUCUAUAGACGUUGCCUGCCAUCCUGGCUACGCUCUUCCAAAAGAGCAGACCACAGUUACAUGUAUGGAGAAUGGCUGGUCUCCUACUCCCAGAUGCGUCCGUGUCAAAACAUGUUCCAAAUCAAGUAUAGAUAUUGAGAAUGGGUUUAUUUCUGAAUCUCAGUAUACAUAUGCCUUAAAAGAAAAAGCAAAAUAUCAAUGCAAACUAGGAUAUGUAACAGCAGAUGGUGAAACAUCAGGAUCAAUUACAUGUGGGAAAGAUGGAUGGUCAGCUCAACCCACGUGCAUUAAAUCUUGUGAUAUCCCAGUAUUUAUGAAUGCCAGAACUAAAAAUGACUUCACAUGGUUUAAGCUGAAUGACACAUUGGACUAUGAAUGCCAUGAUGGUUAUGAAAGCAAUACUGGAAGCACCACUGGUUCCAUAGUGUGUGGUUACAAUGGUUGGUCUGAUUUACCCAUAUGUUAUGAAAGAGAAUGCGAACUUCCUAAAAUAGAUGUACACUUAGUUCCUGAUCGCAAGAAAGACCAGUAUAAAGUUGGAGAGGUGUUGAAAUUCUCCUGCAAACCAGGAUUUACAAUAGUUGGACCUAAUUCCGUUCAGUGCUACCACUUUGGAUUGUCUCCUGACCUCCCAAUAUGUAAAGAGCAAGUACAAUCAUGUGGUCCACCUCCUGAACUCCUCAAUGGGGAUGUUAAGGAGAAAACGAAAGAAGAAUAUGGACACAGUGAAGUGGUGGAAUAUUAUUGCAAUCCUAGAUUUCUAAUGAAGGGACCUAAUAAAAUUCAAUGUGUUGAUGGAGAGUGGACAACUUUACCAGUGUGUAUUGUGGAGGAGAGUACCUGUGGAGAUAUACCUGAACUUGAACAUGGCUGGGCCCAGCUUUCUUCCCCUCCUUAUUACUAUGGAGAUUCAGUGGAGUUCAAUUGCUCAGAAUCAUUUACAAUGAUUGGGCACAGAUCAAUUACGUGUAUUCAUGGAGUAUGGACCCAACUUCCUCAGUGUGUGGCAAUAGAUAAACUUAAGAAGUGCAAAUCAUCAAAUUUAAUUAUACUUGAGGAACAUUUAAAAAACAAGAAGGAAUUCGAUCAUAAUUCUAACAUAAGGUACAGAUGUAGAGGAAAAGAAGGAUGGAUACACACAGUCUGCAUAAAUGGAAGAUGGGAUCCAGAAGUGAACUGCUCAAUGGCACAAAUACAAUUAUGCCCACCUCCACCUCAGAUUCCCAAUUCUCACAAUAUGACAACCACACUGAAUUAUCGGGAUGGAGAGAAAGUAUCUGUUCUUUGCCAAGAAAAUUUUCUAAUUCAGGAAGGAGAAGAAAUUGCAUGCAAAGAUGGAAGAUGGCAGUCAAUACCACUCUGUGUUGAAAAAAUUCCAUGUUCACAACCACCUCAGAUAGAACACGGAACCAUUAAUUCAUCCAGGUCUUCACAAGAAAGUUAUGCACAUGGGACUAAAUUGAGUUAUACUUGUGAGGGUGGUUUCAGGCUAUCUGAAGAAAAUGAAACAACAUGCUACAUGGGAAAAUGGAGUUCUCCACCUCAGUGUGAAGGCCUUCCUUGUAAAUCUCCACCUGAGAUUUCUCAUGGUGUUGUAGCUCACAUGUCAGACAGUUAUCAGUAUGGAGAAGAAGUUACGUACAAAUGUUUUGAAGGUUUUGGAAUUGAUGGGCCUGCAAUUGCAAAAUGCUUAGGAGAAAAAUGGUCUCACCCUCCAUCAUGCAUAAGUAUGGUGCAUUGAAUUUUAUUAUAUGUAUGAUAAAUAUUCUUCAUUCAAAGUGUAAGUGGUACCAAUAAGAAAGUAAACAGGGACUCUAGAAAUUCAUAAGGUUUUCUUGAAUAUUCUGGACUGUUGUGGGAAAUUAUAGCUGUAGUAAUUUAAAAAUUUGACAUUAUAAGCCAAAUUAGUUCAUUUUCGCAUCAUCUUGUGUGAACUUUAAGCAUCCUCUGAUGUAUAUUCUCAGACUUCUCAUCUCUGUUCUUAGGGCACAGCUGCCUCUACUCAUCAAUCUCCACAUUAUUCAAUCUUCUGUCAGUUUAUCAACAAUCUCCCUAUAAGUACAUUUUCUGAAAUAUUUAAAAAAAUCAUUAUAAGUAUUUCACAUUUGAUAGAAGCAAAAAAUUUGGAAAUACACACACAAUAUAGGUGGUGUAUUAUUCCGUUUUCACACUGCUGUAAAGACCUUCCUGAGACUGGGUAAUUUAUAAAAGAAAAAAUUUUAAUUGAUCACAGUUCCUCAUGACUGAGGAGGUGUCAUGAAACUUACCAUUACCGCUGAAGGGGAAGCAGGCACCUUCUUCACAAGGUGGCAGGAGAGAGAGGAGUGAGUGAAGGAGGAACUUCUAAACAGUUAUUAAAUCAUCAUAUCUUGUGAGAACUCACUCACCAUCAUGAGAACAGCAUGUGGGAAACUGCCACCAUGAUCCAAUCACUUCCCACCAGGUCUCUCUCUCAACACCUGGAGAUUAUUAUUCAAGAUGAGAUUUGGGUGAGGACACAAAGCCUAACCAUAUCAGGUGGCAAGUAUGGACAAAAAAUAAUGUGAACAAAAAAAUGUGUAAUCUCAAUUGCUACGGCUACCAAUAUCUCUUCAGGCUUCUAAUAUCAUUUCUAUCUUGUAUUUUUAAUAGAUUUAGAAGAAUUUAAUGUAAUUAAGACAAAAUGGCUAAUAUAUUUUCUCAAGUUAUAAGAAAAAUGUUGUACAGUAUUCAUUGAUUCUAUAUAUCGCUAUUUUAGAAUCCAUUACAUGUAUUGUAUGUAACCUAUUUUUAAAGAUUUGCUGAACAAAUACAUAUUUUUCCUAUUUCAGAAACAGAUUGUCUCAGUUUACCUAGCUUUGAAAAUGCCAUACCCAUGGGAGAGAAGAAGGAUUUGUAUAAGGCGGGUGAGCAAGUGACUUACACUUGUGCAACAUAUUACAAAAUGGAUGGAGCCAGUAAUGUAACAUGCAUUAAUAGCAGAUGGACAGGAAGGCCAACAUGCAGAGACACUUCCUGUGUGAAUCCGCCCACAGUACAAAAUGCUUAUAUAGUGUCGAGACAGAUGAGUAAAUAUCCAUCUGGUGAGAGAGUACGUUAUCAAUGUAGGAGCCCUUAUGAAAUGUUUGGGGAUGAAGAAGUGAUGUGUUUAAAUGGAAACUGGACAGAACCACCUCAAUGCAAAGAUUCUACGGGAAAAUGUGGGCCCCCUCCACCUAUUGACAAUGGGGACAUUACUUCAUUCCCGUUGUCAGUAUAUGCUCCAGCUUCAACAGUUGAGUACCAAUGCCAGAACUUGUAUGAACUUGAGGGUAACAAGCGAAUAACAUGUAGAAAUGGACAAUGGUCAGAACCACCAAAAUGCUUACAUCCGUGUGUAAUAUCCCGAGAAAUUAUGGAAAAGUAUAACAUAGCAUUAAGGUGGAAAGCCAAAGAGAAGAUUUAUUCGAGAACAGGUGAAUCAGUUGAAUUUAUAUGUAAAAAUGGAUAUCGUCUUUCACCAAGUUCUCACGCAUUGCGAACAGCAUGUUGGGAUGGGAAACUGGAGUAUCCAACUUGUGUAAAAAGAUAGAAUCAAUCAUAAAAUGCACACCUUUAUUCAGAACUUUAGUAUUAAAUCAGUUCUUAAUUUCAUUUUUUAAGUAUUGUUUUACUCCUUUUUAUUCAUAUGUAAAAUUUUGGAUUAAUUUGUGAAAAUGUAAUUAUAAGCUGAGACCGGUGGCUCUCUUCUUAAAAGCACCAUAUUAAAACUUGGAAAACUAA
Molecule: small RNA, 6988 nt
Filed under: Pan troglodytes (chimpanzee)
Lineage: Eukaryota; Metazoa; Chordata; Mammalia; Primates; Hominidae
Description: retained intron
Source: RNAcentral